CCUACGGGGGGCAGCAGUGGGGAAUAUUGGACAAUGGGGGGAACCCUGAUCCAGCCAUGCCGCGUGUGUGAAGAAGGCCCUCGGGUUGUAAAGCACUUUCAGUGAGGAAGAACGCCUGGUGGUUAAUACCCAUCAGGAAAGACAUCACUCACAGAAGAAGCACCGGCUAACUCCGUGCCAGCAGCCGCGGUAAUACGGAGGGUGCGAGCGUUAAUCGGAAUUACUGGGCGUAAAGCGCGCGUAGGUGGCUUGAUAAGCCGGUUGUGAAAGCCCCGGGCUCAACCUGGGAACGGCAUCCGGAACUGUCAAGCUAGAGUGCAGAAGAGGAAGGUAGAAUUCCCGGUGUAGCGGUGAAAUGCGACGAGAUCGGGAGGAAUAGCAGUGGCGAAGGCGGCCUUCUGGACUGACACUGACACUGAGGUGCGAAAGCGUGGGUAGCAAACAGGAUUAGAUACCCCAGUAGUC
This 465-nucleotide ribosomal RNA is filed under the name Vreelandella stevensii. RNAcentral describes it as "partial 16S ribosomal RNA". It matches the Rfam family "Bacterial small subunit ribosomal RNA", at positions 338 to 795 of the family's 1533-position model. Lineage: Bacteria; Pseudomonadati; Pseudomonadota; Gammaproteobacteria; Oceanospirillales; Halomonadaceae. The record is from RNAcentral.